UACGCUUGUUGCAACGGGUUGUUCCUGCCA
Molecule: non-coding RNA, 30 nt
Filed under: Mus musculus (house mouse)
Lineage: Eukaryota; Metazoa; Chordata; Mammalia; Rodentia; Muridae
Source: RNAcentral